Molecule: long non-coding RNA, 971 nt
Filed under: Musa acuminata (dwarf banana)
Lineage: Eukaryota; Viridiplantae; Streptophyta; Magnoliopsida; Zingiberales; Musaceae
Description: long non-coding RNA (MACU_LNC010866)
Source: RNAcentral
UUGUGUUAAGCAAAGAAGAAAUAGAGAAUAUGGGACCAGAGUCACUUGCCCACUUGUCUAGUAGUUGCUUGGCCCCGUCCCGUUAGCGCUUUACCCCAAGACAAGAAGUAAGCUUACGCUCAAGUCCGCUCCUCUCGCAAACUGGAAUUGAUAUUGAACUGACACCUGCUAUAAACAAAAAGAAUCUAAUUUCUCACUAUGAUUACCAAACAAACUCAUAUUAUAUACUAAACAAAGCUUACCCUUUGCUAACCUCUGAUCUUAGCUUAGUUGCUUGUUCAACUCAAUCAAAGAGAAAUUUCUUCACUAAUGUUUUGUAAUCUAGGAUUUUAGGAGAAACUCCCGAAACAAUACUUGUUGCGCCUUGUAAACCAGGACAGGAAUCUUUAUUGCCUCUGUAUAUAAAGGAGUAAUCUGACCUACGUCCUUUCUUCGCCUCCGUAGAGUUAUUAACAAGUCAAGUUUUGGGGAAUCUCUCUCUCAUGUAUAGAAUUAACCGCUUCUAUCUAAUUAACCUGGCUGUAAAGACUGUUGGUGUUUAGGCUACAAAUACUUCAUGGAAUCUUUCGAACACUGAAGCAACAUUCAAAUCAUCAUGAAAAGAUGUCUAGGUUUCGGGAGUUCACACUGAUUCUUCUCGAGUCGCAAACACAAGAGAGAACUCCACUCUUAGACUCGCUUCAAAGCCUAGCAACGGAACUAUCAGCGGCAAAUGAGCAAGCAAGGGAACAAACACUAGUAAGGGGGUAAGGGCUGAAGAACAAACCAAACCACUUUCAGGCGCUUAUGCUUACUCUCGGGGUUCCUAACAGAGUUAUUCUUGUUUAGAGUCAACAAUUCAUUAGGGUUACCUUUUUGAAUAUCCUGACUUUCUGACGCUUAUUCUCUGCGGAAAGUCAAACUGCGCAUUCAUCAUGAAAUUCCACAAUGAUAAUUAUGUCGUGUCGAACUCAUUCACUUGAAGACCCGCU